GGACUUGUGGCGCACGGGUAACGCCCCUGACUACAGAUCAGGAGAUUCCAGGUUCGAAUCCUGGCUGGUUCG
Molecule: non-coding RNA, 72 nt
Organism: Trichonephila clavata
Lineage: Eukaryota; Metazoa; Arthropoda; Arachnida; Araneae; Nephilidae
Source: the annotation of a GenBank genome assembly